GGGCGAUUAGCUCAGUGGGAGAGCGCUUCCUUCACACGGAAGAGGCCACUGGUUCGAUCCCAGUAUCGCCCACCA
Molecule: transfer RNA, 75 nt
Filed under: Nitrospira sp.
Lineage: Bacteria; Pseudomonadati; Nitrospirota; Nitrospiria; Nitrospirales; Nitrospiraceae
Also listed under: 4 other names
Description: tRNA-Val
Rfam family: tRNA
About the family: Transfer RNA (tRNA) molecules are approximately 80 nucleotides in length. Their secondary structure includes four short double-helical elements and three loops (D, anti-codon, and T loops).
Source: RNAcentral